UGGGGAAUCUUGCGCAAUGGGCGAAAGCCUGACGCAGCCAUGCCGCGUGGAUGAUGAAGGUCUUAGGAUUGUAAAAUCCUUUCACCGGUGAAGAUAAUGACUGUAGCCGGAGAAGAAGCCCCGGCUAACUUCGUGCCAGCAGCCGCGGUAAUACGAAGGGGGCUAGCGUUGCUCGGAAUUACUGGGCGUAAAGGGAGCGUAGGCGGACAUUUAAGUCAGGGGUGAAAUCCCGAGGCUCAACCUCGGAACUGCCUUUGAUACUGAGUGUCUUGAGUGUGAGAGAGGUAUGUGGAACUCCGAGUGUAGAGGUGAAAUUCGUAGAUAUUCGGAAGAACACCAGUGGCGAAGGCGACAUACUGGCUCAUUACUGACGCUGAGGCUCGAAAGCGUGGGGAGCAAACAGGAUUAGAUACCCUGGUAGUCCACGCCGUAAACGAUGAUUGCUAGUUGUCGGGAAGCUUGCUUUUCGGUGACGCAGCUAACGCAUUAAGCAAUCCGCCUGGGGAGUACGGUCGCAAGAUUAAAACUCAAAGGAAUUGACGGGGUCAUAGCUGUUUCCUG
Molecule: ribosomal RNA, 561 nt
Filed under: uncultured bacterium
Lineage: Bacteria
Description: partial 16S ribosomal RNA
Rfam family: Bacterial small subunit ribosomal RNA
Source: RNAcentral